Molecule: ribosomal RNA, 253 nt
Filed under: uncultured bacterium
Lineage: Bacteria
Description: partial 16S ribosomal RNA
Rfam family: Bacterial small subunit ribosomal RNA
Source: RNAcentral
UACGUAGGGGGCAAGCGUUGUCCGGAUUUAUUGGGCGUAAAGCGCGUGUAGGCGGCCAGGUAGGUCCGUUGUGAAAACUCGAGGCUCAACCUCGAGACGUCGGCGGAAACCAUCUGGCUAGAGUCCGGAAGAGGAGAGUGGAAUUCCUGGUGUAGCGGUGAAAUGCGCAGAUAUCAGGAAGAACACCCGUGGCGAAGGCGGCUCUCUGGGACGGUACUGACGCUGAGACGCGAAAGCGUGGGGAGCGAACAGG